CUACAUAGAUAAAGAUCAAUAACUCCGAUCUUGAAUUGAAGGAUCCGAUCAUCCUUUUUUAUGACGUCGUUGGAUUUUGACCGUUCAUUUUAUGCCCACUUGAUUGACUUUAUUAUGAUUUCGAAAAUUUACGAAAUUUAUUUUCUAGAAGUUUCAAAUACUCUAGAUCAUAUUUAACGGAGUGGAUCGUUGAUUCGGAAGCUCCAUCAUUGAAAACAAAUUAUGAGUACGAGGGCUCCAAUACUCAUAAUAGUAUAGUAGCCAUGGCCUAUAUAUAUAUAUAUAUAUAUAUAUAUAUAUAUAUAUAUAGAAUUAUGCUACUAUGCUAUUAAUAGUACCAAGCCCUUGGUACUAUUGAGUUUUCGGUCGUUGGAUGAAAAGAUGUGCGGUUAGGAUGAUAGUAGUCCCCGGUUAAAUUGAUAGUGGUCCCCUAGGGUUGAGUGGGUGGUUAAUUUAAUAGUAUAAUCUAACGGGUGAAAAUAAUCAAAAGGUAGAUCUAACGGUAGAAAACUCAAUAGUACAAAGGGCUUGGUACUAUCGAUAGUAUAGUAGCCGGACUAUAUAUAUAUAUAAAGCAGGGCUGCUGUGCUCUCAGGAGCACGGAGGCCUCCGUGCUCCUGAGCCGUUUUCGAUGAUGGAGUUUCCGAAUCGACGAUCGGUUUCGUUAAACUUGAUCUAGCGUAUUUGAAGUUUCUAGAAAAUAAUUUUUACGAUUUUUCGAUAUCAUUUAAGUAGCAAUCGAAAGGGUUCAAAAUCAAUAAUUUUUAACGGCUGAAAAUAAAAAUCCUAUAAAAAGUGGUGAUAUAGCACUAAAAUUUUCGAUCAGGAAUAUUGAUUUUGUUGUAGAUAGUAUAAAGAAUUUUGUAUCAAAAUUUCAUCUGAUUUGAAUACUUCUACACCGUUAAACUUGAAAACAGCAGAUAUCAACCAUCAAAAAUUAUGGAUUUUGAAUCCUUUCGAUCAUUAGGUAAAUGAUACCAAAAAAUCGCAAAAAUUAUUUUCUAGAAACUUCAAAUGCGCUAGAUCAAGUCUAACGGAGCCGAUCAUCGAUUCGAAAAUUCCAUCAUUGAAAACGGCUCAGGAGCACGGAGGCCUCUGUGCUCCUGAGAGCACAGCAGCCCUACUAU
This 1127-nucleotide long non-coding RNA is filed under the name Ananas comosus (pineapple). RNAcentral's name for it is "long non-coding RNA (ACOM_LNC034893)". Lineage: Eukaryota; Viridiplantae; Streptophyta; Magnoliopsida; Poales; Bromeliaceae. The record is from RNAcentral.